Betta splendens (Siamese fighting fish) is the source of this 3536-nucleotide RNA transcript. It is a transcript of the gene named matrilin-3-like, with no coding region annotated. The transcript is spliced from 7 exons. NCBI's taxonomy places the organism in Eukaryota, Metazoa, Chordata, Actinopteri, Anabantiformes, Osphronemidae. The record is from RefSeq and is a predicted model, not a curated record.
UUCUCUUAACUUCCCCUUAUGUGAAGUCAAAUGGGAUCAUUUGUAUUUUCACCAGAAUACAGUAUCUGUGAAAUAUGCAAAGAACUCAAAAUGUUCACACAUAAACAAAACACAGGACAUGGUGUUUUUAAUUACUGAUAAAAAAAAAUCCAGCACAGUCACAUGAAAUUAUGAUCAUUUUUUACAAACAGAGCAAACAGACGCUUCAUUACCCCGAAAUAAGAUUGGUUUCUAAGACGGAACUAAAUUUUGAAUAACGUGAGGUCAGCGACCCCAGAAAAUGCUUCCACACAGAGUCCAUCAGAGGGCAGCACACACAUCAGCUGUACUGUUGGGAUGAAUCAGCAUUCAUGGUUUGAAGGCAUAAAGGAAGGUUUGAACAUCAGUUCCAUGUAAAAUAAGAGUAAGUUAUGUAGUCAAGAAACAGAGAUUUCACAUUGCAUUGUUAUGUUAAUUCUAGGCCUGCGCAGUUUUUACAGCAAUCAAACCAAGCUCCUAUGCUCAGUUAUUAAAUUAAUUAUAGUAAAAUAAUAAAUACAAGCAAUUAUUGUGAUUUCAAAAACAAAUGCAAUAAAAGUUUCUUAGUGACAUGACUCUCUACUCUGAAACCAUCUUACUUGUGCAGAUCUGAUUUGCCGUGGAUCCCUCCCCCGUCUACUGUACACCACCUCAUAUAAAAAGGAUGAAUAGGGCUGGUGAUGUCUGGACUCAGAGAAGGACAGAGACCUGUUUACUGUUAACAUGCUUUCAUUAAUAUGGGGGCUGGUUGGUUUCAUUGUGUUGCUAAGGUCAGGCACUCGGGGAACCUUUCAACAGUUUGACUCGAAAGAACUGCAAAUCCACACUAUCCAGCCUGCACCUGCGUCAGUCCCUGCAUGGGUCCCUCUGCACUUUGAAGUCACCAGGUCCAUUGAGCAAACAUCUGAUCAUCGGGAGGCCCGACUGGAUGAUGAUGAUUACAGCGGUGUAAUCCACAGGCAUCAUCAUCAUCAUCACUAUCAGCAGCAGCAGCGGCAGCAGGGCGUUGGACCAGGAGCCAGCACCUUCCGGACGACGCAGGAAAGAGCUGGACAUGACAGCAGAGCUGGUGGCAUAAAUUUUAGGUUUCCUCAGAAUCAACCCUACCAUCAGCAGCUUCUGAAGAAAAGCUGGCCGACCUCACAUCUGCAACGCAGUGCUGCACCGUCUGCAGCCUGGCAACUGCCUGAAGGCUCAAAGAUCUCUCCUGCAUUUCUGAGAACUGCUGCAGCAACAAGGUCCAGCUGCAGAAGUCGACCCAUAGACCUGGUCUUCAUCAUAGACAGUUCACGUAGUGUGCGUCCCUCUGAGUUUGAGAAGGCAAAGGAGUUCUUGCAGGACAUGGUGGACAGCUUGCCCAUUGGAUCCGAUGCCACGCGAGUCGGCCUCGUCAAUUAUGCCAGCACAGUAAAGAUCGAGUUUCUCCUGAAGACAUAUUUUGACAAGACCGCCUUGAAGCAAGCACUCGCCCGGGUUGAGCCCCUUGCUUCAGGCACCAUGACAGGAACUGCCAUUAAGAGCGCCAUGGAGAACGUAUUCACUAGCCAAGCCGGAUCUCGUCCCAGCCCCAUGAUAGCCAAAGUAGCCAUCAUAGUGACGGAUGGAAGGCCUCAGGACAAGGUGGAAGAUGUAUCAGCAGCAGCUCGGGCAUCUGGGAUUGAAAUCUACGCAGUGGGAGUAGACAGAGCUGAUCUGAUGUCCCUCCGCCUCAUGGCCAGCCAACCACAUGAUGACCAUGUCUUCUAUGUAGAAACCUAUGGUGUCAUGGAGAAGCUCAUUUCCAAAUUUAGGCAAACCUUGUGUGGUAAGAAUGAUGGUGAUGGGACUGUGGAUAGCCCAGUCAAUGGUCAUUAUGGACUAGGUCACAGGAAAAACAAAACAAACAAUGAAAAUGACAUUGAAGGACACAACGGUCUGGACCCAUGUGCGCAGGGACACAAUUGCCAGGACAUUUGUGUUAGCAAUGGCAAUUCCCACACUUGCAAGUGUCGCUCAGGCUUUGUGUUGAACCUGGACAAGAAGACAUGCUCACGUGCAGAUGUUUGUAUGCAGGGACACGAUUGUCAGCACGUGUGUGUCACCAGUGGCAGCUCAUAUACCUGCAAAUGUCGAGUGGGACAUACAUUAAAUGCAGACCAGAAAACAUGCUCACAUUCGGAUACAUGUUCCCAGGGACAUGACUGUCAGCAUGUUUGUGUCAAAAGUGGUGAUUCCUAUCACUGCAUAUGUCACAAGGGAUAUGUGUUGAAUGAGGACGAGAAAACAUGCUCACGUAAGAACAAAAAGCCACAAAUCUUGGGUUUAUCGUGGCCAGAAAAAACAGGAAGACCUGUUAGAACACUACCUGAGUGCGUCAAUAAUGGAGUGUUACGUGUGUGGCUGUCUUCUUCCAGGUUCUUAUACUUGUGCCCACGGUCAUGACUGUCAGCAUAGUUGUGUAAAAACUGAUGAUUCUUACAUCUGUAAGUGUCAUUCGGGCUACAUGUUGAAUGUGGAUCAGAAAACAUGUUCCCGUAAACACUGUUUUUGUCUCUGUGAAUUGGGAAUCACUGAUUCUUAAUUAGCUGCAGAAGGAAAUGUGGUCUUAUUGAAGUUAGUUGAGAAUGUUACUGUAGCUGUGUGUCAUUGCAGGUUUGAGCACAUGUGACCAAGGGAAUAAUUGCCAGCAUAUUUGCGUUGCAAGUGGUGAUUCUCACCAUUGCAAAUGUCGUGAAGGAUACGUGUUGAACGCAGAGCAAAGAACAUGCUCACGUAAGAAACUGAAUUUCACCUGCGGUGAACAAACACUGCAUCUGAAAUGCUGGUGGUACUGCCUUGGAUUGUUUAACCUGACUGCGUUGGACGUUUCUUUUCAGAUUCAGAUUUGUGUCCUUCGGGACACGACUGCCAACAUAUUUGUGUCAGAACAGACGAUUCAGAACAUGCAACAGUUUUUAUACAUUUAUGGAGAAAUUAAUGUAAAACUACAGUUUAGGUUUUAGUGGUGCUUUAUUUGGCUAAAGGUCCUGAAUGUAACUACUUGCUGUGAUUAGUAUUAUAAAUAGUCAUACUCAAUCAAUCUUUAUUUAUUUGUCUCAUUUUAUUAUUUAUUGUUUAUUGCUGUAAUUACAGAACCUUUAAAUCACCAGUUCGGUUAAUAAAUCUACAUUAGAUUAUGUCUAAAGGAUCUGUCCCAGGACCAAUUAUAGUGGCAAAAGUGGUUGAUUAAACGAAUUUUGGCUGUUUAGUUCAAUUCUUAAGUUUAUUGUGAUGCUUAACUGGAAAUAGGGCAAAUGGCCAUAGUCAUGAAAAUGGCCAUAGUCAUGAAGUUUUCAUGGCCAUAGUCAGUUCAUAAACUAAGUCAGUCAGAUGCAGAAGUCUUUCUUUCAGGUUCAGAUCCUUGUGCCCGUGGACAUAAUUGCCAACACAUUUGUGUCAACAAUGAUGACUCGUAUAUCUGCAAGUGUCAAAUGGGAUAUGUGUUGAAUUCAGACCAGAAAACAUGUUCACGUUCAGGCUUGGAUUUGUGUGCCCUGGGA